GAUGAACGCUAGCGGCAGGCCUAACACAUGCAAGUCGAGGGGCAGCACAGGUAGCAAUACUGGGUGGCGACCGGCGGAUGGGUGCGUAACGCGUAUGCAACCUACCAUUGAUUGGGGCAUAGCCCGAAGAAAUUCGGAUUAAUACUCCAUAAUAUUCAUCAAAGGCAUCUUUUAUGAAUUAAAGCUUUUGCGAUCAAUGAUGGGCAUGCGUGACAUUAGUUAGUUGGUGAGGUAACGGCUCACCAAAACGAUGAUGUCUAGGGGUUCUGAGAGGAUUAUCCCCCACACUGGUACUGAGACACGGACCAGACUCCUACGGGAGGCAGCAGUGAGGAAUAUUGGUCAAUGGACGCAAGUCUGAACCAGCCAUGCCGCGUGACAGGAUGACGGCCCUAUGGGUUGUAAACUGCUUUUCCACGGGAAGAACCCUCCGACGUGUCGGAGACUGACGGUACCGUGGGAAUAAGCAUCGGCUAACUCCGUGCC
RNAcentral lists this ribosomal RNA (486 nucleotides) under uncultured bacterium. RNAcentral's name for it is "bacterial SSU rRNA". It matches the Rfam family "Bacterial small subunit ribosomal RNA", at positions 28 to 509 of the family's 1533-position model. The record is from RNAcentral.